This 226-nucleotide long non-coding RNA is filed under the name Vigna radiata. RNAcentral describes it as "long non-coding RNA (VRAD_LNC002047)". Lineage: Eukaryota; Viridiplantae; Streptophyta; Magnoliopsida; Fabales; Fabaceae. The record is from RNAcentral.
CGGGGACUCGAGGUUUACUUUUUCAAGUAGUGUGAAUUGAUUGAAUUUGACUUGAUUUUAUAUUUAUUUUUUUUUUGUUCUAAUAAAUGUUUUCUAGGGUUUUGUGCCUAAUUUUUGCAGAAUGCAGUUUGGACAAGAAUUUGAUUUUUUACGUACUCAAUUCUACCAAAAUAGUUUCAACCACUGGUGGGAACCUCAUUCAAACAUGUAUCAUAGCCAAUUUGGG